This 428-nucleotide ribosomal RNA is filed under the name uncultured bacterium. Its description in RNAcentral is "partial 16S ribosomal RNA". It matches the Rfam family "Bacterial small subunit ribosomal RNA", at positions 354 to 796 of the family's 1533-position model. The record is from RNAcentral.
GUGGGGAAUAUUGGGCAAUGGGCGAAAGCCUGACCCAGCAACGCCGCGUGAGGGAAGAAGGCCUUCGGGUUGUAAACCUCUGUCCUUGGUGACGAAGAAAGUGACGGUAGCCAAGGAGGAAGCCCCGGCUAACUACGUGCCAGCAGCCGCGGUAAUACGUAGGGGGCGAGCGUUGUCCGGAAUUACUGGGCGUAAAGGGUGCGUAGGUGGCCUUUUAAGUUGGAUGUGAAAUACCCGGGCUUAACUUGGGGGGUGCAUCUAAUACUGGGAGGCUAGAGUGCAGGAGAGGGAAGCGGAAUUCCUAGUGUAGCGGUGAAAUGCGUAGAUAUUAGGAGGAACACCAGUGGCGAAGGCGGCUUUCUGGACUGUAACUGACGCUGAGGCGCGAAAGUGUGGGGAGCAAACAGGAUUAGAUACCCGAGUAGUCC